Long non-coding RNA from Megalobrama amblycephala (Wuchang bream), 1443 nucleotides. RefSeq lists it as uncharacterized. Lineage: Eukaryota; Metazoa; Chordata; Actinopteri; Cypriniformes; Xenocyprididae. The transcript is spliced from 3 exons. The record is from RefSeq and is a predicted model, not a curated record.
GGGAGGGGAGGGGUGGACUGUCUCAGGUGGCUGUCGUUUUGAGAGCUUAUCAAGAUCAGGCGAGUCUUGACUCAUGGCUGAGGGUCAGGGGUCAGAUCUUAGGCUUACAGGUUCCACCAAUGAACAACAUUUAUCAUCUCAUAGUCGAACCUCUUCAGUUUGACAGACUGGUUUUGGUUUCUGUGGUGUUUGUACAUCUUCUCUUCCCUAUAGAUUAUGCUUAUUUCACAAAUCACUUAACAUGUAGUCAGUGUAGAGAUGAUUAAAUUGGUGUUAUAUGAUCAUAUUUCUUGACUUUUUAAGAACUCAGCUGCAUUUUGGACUAGUUGUAGCUUGUUUAUUGAGGAUGAAGGACAACCAGCUAGUAAUGCAUUACAGUAAUCUAGUCUAGACAUCAUGAUUUAAAUAUAUAUAUAUAUAUUAGUUAAUCCAUGUCCUUGAGCAUGCAGUCGUCAUCAGGGCUCCUCCUCUUCACAGAUAACAGAUAUAAAGAACAUAACAGUGAUGAAACUAAAACUAAACAAAGCUCAAUUCUGAUCAGCACAUCUGCACUGAAAGCUUUUCAACACAUCCAAAUCUCAAACUACAGCUAAAAUGAUAGUGACUGCACCCACUAUCUGGUUUGUGUCUUUCUGUAAUUCUGUUGCAGUUGGUUUACAGUUUAUGAUGUUUAAGUCCUUCAAGAAACAGCAGGCCCUGGCACUGGCUGCACACCAGCGAAAGUGGGAAAUGGAGGAUCUAAGGCUUAAAUUACUAGGGGAAGAACUAGAGAAAAUCCGAAUAGAAUUAGAAAACCAUCAGUUGGAAAUGGCAAGAAUUCAAGCUGAGAAUAACUAUGGUUUAAUUCAGAAUACAGUAAAGUUGGUUAAGGAUAUUGUUCAUUUGUUUUCAAAAUAAAUGUUUUGUUUAAUUUCAUUUCAUUAUCCCAAUGUAUGUAUUAAUCAUGUCUCUAUUUUUCUUUUUUACAACUAUAACUAAUUUUUUUUUAACUGAAAAGGUUUAACACUGUAAAUCUUAUACACUUUUUGUAACUAUAAUGUGUAAACAAUCAUGUUGUUAUAGUGGGUGUUUUUAGGGUGUUUUUUCUUUCAGUAUGAAUAUUGAAUUAGAUUUUUAUGCAACAUUUACAACAAUUGUACAGAUUAAAAUUUGUAAUAUUUUAAUAUAUUUAUUCAUAUUUUCAUUUUUACACAGUUACAUAUCUGUUGCUUUCAAAUAACGUUCUCAUCGUGGCAUUUUGUCACUGCACCAGGGGUUAUCUGAAGCUUGACCAGAAAUAGUCUGCUUUUCUGAACUGAUGGAUCUAAUGAAUGGCUCUGAGUCAAGUUCAGAAUAGAAUAGUUGUGAGAUUUUCAGCCUGUAACAACUUUUCUAUGUGUGAUGUUUCAAUAAAGUGACUUUGUUUCAUUACGUGUGUGUCAUUAACAUCAAAGCUUUUGACUC